CAUCAGUAUGAAGUUAUGGAGACCGCGAACCGAAAUACUGAUUUCUCCUGCAUAUCCGCUAUUUUGUCCUGUUUCGCCCUUUCGGUGGUGUAUAUUGCGAGCCUUUACGUAUGGAGUUCACCGUACAAUAGAGAACAUCCAACAACGAUAAAAAAGAGAUUUUUCAGCGUUUUUAUUAUGUCCCUUAUAUCUCCUGCAUCAUUGUAUUUUGGAAUGAAUGAGAAAGUAUUUCAGAAGGCAACAAUUUGGGAAUUAUUGGGUCUACGAUGGCCAGGUUUAUUUCAAGCAAUUGUGAUACCAUUAUUAUUAACAAUGAUACUAUUUCUAGGGCCAUUAAGUGUACAAGGUUUUAAUGGUCUUUGGAGAUUAUAUACUGAACCUAUGUACUGGCUUGGAAGUGUACGAACACUAACAUGGUGGAGAAAUCAAAUAGUUGCACCAUUGUCUGAAGAAUGGACUUUUAGAGCAUGUAUGUUACCAUUGCUUUUGCAAUGCUUUACACCAACAACUGCCAUAUUUGUAUGCCCCUUGUUUUUUGGGGUUGCACACUUCCAUCAUGUAGUAGAUAAAGUUAAGGCUGGCGUGAAACUUAAACAUGCACUUUUUAUAUCCUGUUUCCAGUUUACAUAUACAACAUUAUUUGGAGCAUAUGCAGCUUUUCUUUUUGCUAAAACAGGACACUUAGCAGCGCCAUUUACGGCACAUUCAUUUUGUAAUCAUAUGGGAUUCCCUGAUCUUUCUGAAGUUGUAGCAUUUAAGGAUCCUCUAAAGAGAGCUGGAUUAUUUUCUUUAUUUGUAAUUGGAUUAGUAGCCUGGUGUUUUUUACUGACACCAAUGACAAACCCGACAUUAUUUCAUAAUAAUUUAUUUUGGCAUAAACAUUUUAUAUGAUGAAGUGAUUAACUUGCAACAAUGUCACUAAUCUUACUUAUAAGAUUUGAAUGAAAAUAUCAAUUUAAUUCGAAGCUACGUUAAUUUCAGAUUGCAUGACAUUUAUUAAAAAACAGUUUCUUAUCAAAAGAACAACAAUUGCAGAAAGAUUCGUUUUAUCAAAAGAUAGACGCAUCUAUGCAAAAUAGAAAACGAUUGAAAAAUUAAAACUUUAUUAAGAAUAUUAUUAAUUUCUGAUUAAAUUGUUAAUUUUUGUGUGUUUCGUGAUCACUUUUUCCGACGAGUUUUCUCGCGUCGGUUGAUCGAUUCUCAGAUCGCUAAUUCUAUCCUAGCGAGGAUACGGAGCACAGGAUGUUUAGGCAGAGUCACGUGAAGUUGUUAAAAUAAAAUAAAAGAUAUAACUUUAAACGUUUAAAAAUGGUUUAUUAAACACUUCACACGCACGCUCACCUCGGGACAAUCGACGAAUUAUAACGAUAAUACAAACUGGUUGAAAUUUAGGUUGAGAAUUGCUAACACGUUUGCUUUCGUGAAAGGUUUACAAGGAUCUGAAUUUUAAAAUCGGAACGGCAAUCGUUUGAACCAUCGAUCCGAUCGAUGGCGUUGCGAUAGGGCUAAUCCCGUGCGGGAGGGAUUAGUGCCUGUACGCAGCGACGUAAUAUGGCACAGAAGUGCCUCGGUCGAUUAUUAUUAUCUUUAUUUCGGAACACUGUGCAAUCAAAUUAUCGAGAUAAAAUUAAUCAUGCAAUAUAGAAAUAAUAUAAAUCACCGUAGUGCCUCGAAUUUAAUUAAAUUUACGUAGUUAUAAUCAUGAAUACCAGUAACAAUUUAGACAGUUUUUCUUAAAAUAAUAACGUUAACAAAAUAUUAUGUAGUUAAAAAAUUUAUGACAUUGUUACAAUAAAUGUUGUUUUGAAUACUAAAAAAGUUACUUCUAUAAAAUAUAUCCUCAAAGAUUUGUUAAGAUACAAAUAUACAAAUGUAAAAAUGUUUUCAUUUUAAAAUAAGAUGACUGUAUUCUUAUUACAUGUGUAAAACAUAAACUUACUGUUCAAUUCAAGUAUAUUAACAAAG
RNAcentral lists this unclassified non-coding RNA (1965 nucleotides) under Megachile rotundata (alfalfa leafcutting bee). RNAcentral describes it as "cAAX prenyl protease 2, transcript variant X1". The record is from RNAcentral. Lineage: Eukaryota; Metazoa; Arthropoda; Insecta; Hymenoptera; Megachilidae.